RNAcentral lists this ribosomal RNA (301 nucleotides) under uncultured bacterium. Its description in RNAcentral is "partial 16S ribosomal RNA". It matches the Rfam family "Bacterial small subunit ribosomal RNA", at positions 509 to 808 of the family's 1533-position model. The record is from RNAcentral.
CAGUAGCCACGGUAAUACAGAGGAUGCAAGCGUUAUCCAGAAUGAUUGGGCGUAAAGUGUCUAUAGGUGGCUUUUCAAGUCCGCCGUCAAAUCCCAGGGCUCAACCGUGGACAGGCGGUGGAAACUACCAAGCUGGAGUACGGCAGGGGCAGAGGGAAUUUCCGGUGGAACGGUGAAAUGCGUUGAGAUCGGAAAGAACACCAACGGCGAAAGCACUCUGUUGGGCCGGCACUGACACCGAGAGACGAAAGUUAGGGGAGCAAAUGGGAUUAGAUACCCCUGUAGUCCCUGUCUCUUAUAA